CAAAAACACUGUGAAGGUGGAAACUGUGAUGAAGUGUCUUGUACUGUCCCAGGGUACACGAUUGACCCUGUGUUGAGUUGCUUCCGUUUUUCGAAGGACAAUCCAGGACCUAAGAGGCUUGCAAGAGAGAGAUGUGCUAAAGAUGGCGGGCAAUUACUUCUAAUUGACUCGGCGUUGAAGGCCUCUGUAGCAUUGUCCAUACUAGUUAACGAGUCAUCGCACGGUAUUUGGAUACAAGGAACGAGAACCUCUGUCUCAUCGCCUUGGUUGACUGACGAUGGGGAUGACCUCCCUUAUAUUGGACCAAACUAUAGAGAUUUUGCUAGCGAUCCCAGUCGCCCGCCUCUGGAGUUGAGUUUUGAUAAAGACAACACGUUUCUUGGAGGACCUGGUGACUCGUACUACCAUGUUAUUUGUG
Magallana angulata is the source of this 418-nucleotide long non-coding RNA. RefSeq lists it as uncharacterized. NCBI's taxonomy places the organism in Eukaryota, Metazoa, Mollusca, Bivalvia, Ostreida, Ostreidae. The record is from RefSeq and is a predicted model, not a curated record. The transcript has 3 exons.